UCUAAAUGAUGGACGACUCAUAGCAUUACAGUCUAAAUGAUAAGAUUCACAUAGUAUUACAGUCUAAAUGAUGGACGACUCAUAGCAUUACAGUCUAAAUGAUGGAGGACUCAUAGUAUUACAGUCUAAAUGAUGGAGGAUUCACAUAGUAUUACAGUCUAAAUGAUGGACGACUCAUAGCAUUACAGUCUAAAUGAUGGAGGACUCAUAGUAUUACAGUCUAAAUGAUGGAGGAUUCACAUAGUAUUACAGUCUAAAUGAUGGAGGAUUCACAUAGUAUUACAGUCUAAAUGAUGGAGGACUCAUAGUAUUACAGUCUAAAUGAUGGAGGAUUCACAUAGUAUUACAGUCUAAAUGAUGGACGACUCAUAGCAUUACAGUCUAAAUGAUGGAGGACUCAUAGUAUUACAGUCUAAAUAAUGGAGGAUUCACAUAGUAUUACAGUCUAAAUGAUGGACGACUCAUAGCAUUACAGUCUAAAUGAUGGAGGACAGUCUAAAUAAUGGAGGACUCAUAGCAUUACAGUCUAAAUGAUGGAGGACGCAUAGUAUUACAGUCUAAAUAAUGGAGGACUCAUAGCAUUACAGUCUAAAUGAUGGAGGACGCAUAGUAUUACAGUCUAAAUAAUGGAGGAUUCAUAUAGUAUUACAGUCUAAAUAAUGGAGGACUCACAUAGUAUUACAGUCUAAAAGAACAAUGGAACCAAGAUUGUAUGGACAGUAUUCUGCAUCUGUAUUGCUUCUCCACUCAGUUGGUGCUGUAAGCCUCUGUGGCCAUUCGCAGUGAGUGGGAAAUUAUGUCAUCUUCAAUUUCAUACAGCACUGUAGAUGUAAAUGAUUUUAUUGCCAUAUUUGAAACACUACCAGGGGUACUGUAUUAUAUAAUUAUUUUAGCAAAUAUGAUGUGUUGCAUAUAGCACGAAACAUGUUUGUUAGGAAGGGAUAUUCUUCAAAUUAGCAUCAGAAUCCCCUAUUGGCUCAGGAGAUGGUGUGGCGGUUGCAAUGCAUUUGUAUGAACCUGUUAACCAGGCAGGAGUGCAUGAUGGGAUCCUUCAUUUUUCCUUCAGAAAGAGGAAUGUGAGGCAGGGGGAGUUUGUUAAAGAGUCAGAGCCCGUACUCAGCAAUGACUCAUCGGGAGAGAAAGAAGGAAAGAAAGAAAGAAAGAGAGAGACAGAGGGAGAAAGAGGGGAACCCACAUGAAUGAGCAGGUGCCUCGGGGGGAACACAGAGAGAGGGGGGGGAAAUGGGAAGAGAGAAGCCUAGAAAGCAAAUUAUGCUGCAUCUCCCUCCCACGCAGUCCGCCCACACGCUCCUGCUCUCCAUCCAUACAGAGGAGAGCAUCAGCGUCAGUCAGGGCUCUUCCAACCCCACCCCGUCCCUAGCACCAUACGCUGCGUCAACCAGCCCAAUCCUGCCUCUCCAAUAACCGAGCCUUCCUCCCCUCUCCUCUCCCUCCCUGGAGACGCCACACUACUGUUCGGCUCCAUAAUUAGACUCCUCAGGCCUGUGUUUUUUUUAACCUUGAGAGCAGCUUGGAAGACAAUCAAGGCACACAUGCGUAAUUACACCAGGCAGACGUGUAGCCAGAAUCUUACUUCCAUUUGCUUAUUUGUAUACAAUUAGCUGUAGGUUUCAGGAGGGGAUCAAAGAAGCAUGUCAUCUCAGUUAAAUUGAUAAAAACGUAAUCUUACUUGGAUUUAGUAGCAUUACCAUCUGAAGGUCACAGGGAUGCCACAAUGUCUAAACUACACCAUAUUGUACAGCUGUUAAACACUCCCCCAAUGCCUCCUCCUACUCACCUGUCCAGUAUAUGUGUUCAGGGCUGGGGGUCCAGGGGCUGCCCUCAUUGCUGCUUGCAGUUGGACAGCUUGCGGAUGCGGCUGUAGGUGGACACUCCUUUGCGUGAGGGGUUGGAGGAGGAGGAGGAGGAGAGGCGCUCUGAUCGGGACCUGGUCCUGCUGGUGGUUGGGUAGUGAUCCUGGUCUGUCUCCGUGCCGUUCACACAUAGGGUCCUGAGCCCCAGCCCCAGCCCCGGCCCCACACAACCCCCCUGGUGCCCGUUCUGCUCCAGCCCAUCCUCAUGCACCCGACCUGGGGAGAGAACACAGAGACGUGAAUUAGAGGUUGGAAGUCAGUGGUCUAAGCUGACUCAGGGAAACAUACGCUGUCAGCCAUCAGGUUAGACUCCUGGUGGAAGUCAGCUUUAUGCACAGAUCUGGGAUCAGCUUACUCCCCCCAAACCAUUAGGCGGAAAUGAAAAAAUGCCCUUAAAUCAUUGUCAGAUAAGUAUCUAGGAGGACGUUUUUCCUCCACACUGUUAGUAACAGGUCAGAGUGACCCAAGAUAAAUGGGGGAGGUGAGCACUGAGCAGCCUUGAAGAAGGUUUGUAGACGGGCAAAAACUGUUGGGAGACCUUUAUUAAAUGUAAGCAUAUUUUCAC
This is a long non-coding RNA of Oncorhynchus tshawytscha (Chinook salmon), 2439 nucleotides long. Lineage: Eukaryota; Metazoa; Chordata; Actinopteri; Salmoniformes; Salmonidae. The record is from Ensembl.